CUGAAACUGGUUAGCAACCAGAACCUCGCUUUGAUGGUUACACUGAGAUGGAAGGAGGAACGGGAAGAGGGAAGAUUAACCUUUCACUGGCCACAAUGCGUUGCCUCUUAUUGAGGAGGAUUCAGCAGCCCAACCCCCUCCAAUCCAGCCUAUCUGUCUGAAUUGCUGAAAGCAUAAUGCUCCCAUAUGAGAGAUAAAAAACACACUUGUGUCAGGAAAAGAAAACAUAGGAGGAAGAGUUUAUCUCUGUGCAUGAUGGAGAUGGGAUAUGGAGAGGGCCAUGAAAGCAGAGGGAAAGGGGCUGAGCUGCGCAUUCAGCACUUGCUUUGCUUGGUACAUACUGCACCGCAAGCACCUCGCAGACCAUGCUUGUAUUGCGAAUGACACACUUGUGUUCUCUGCUAAUGUGAUGUUCCUGUAAAGGUGGGUAAUGCACAAACUGCAAGGAGCCCGCAAUUUGGCAUCCUUGUGCUUCUGCCUUUUGCUUUGGAAUGUAUUUAUCUGCAGCAAGAAGAGCUCACCAAAGCUCAAUGAAUUUUCCAGCAGUGUUGACUCAGAAAAGCCAGCAGAACAAUGGCAG
RNAcentral lists this long non-coding RNA (580 nucleotides) under Coturnix japonica (Japanese quail). RNAcentral describes it as "lncRNA (ENSCJPG00005016546.1)". Lineage: Eukaryota; Metazoa; Chordata; Aves; Galliformes; Phasianidae. The record is from RNAcentral.